CUACACGGGUAUCUAAUCCUGUUUGCUCCCCACGCUUUCGUGCCUGAAUGUCGGUGCUGGACCAGGAAGCCGCUUUCGCCACUGGUGUUCCUUCCGAUAUCUACGCAUUUCACCGCUACACCGGAAAUUCCGCUUCCCUCUUCCGCACCCUAGCUCGACAGUCUCGAAUGCAAUUCCCAGGUUGAGCCCGGGGCUUUCACACCCGACUUAUCGAACCAUCUGCGCACGCUUUACGCCCAGUAAUUCCGAUUAACGCUUGCACCCUCUGUAUUACCGCGGCUGCUGGCAC
RNAcentral lists this ribosomal RNA (289 nucleotides) under uncultured Gammaproteobacteria bacterium. RNAcentral's name for it is "partial 16S ribosomal RNA". The record is from RNAcentral. Lineage: Bacteria; Pseudomonadati; Pseudomonadota; Gammaproteobacteria.